UACGGAGGGUGCAAGCGUUGUCCGGAUUUAUUGGGUUUAAAGGGUGCGUAGGCGGCCCGUUAAGUCAGUGGUGAAAUCCCUCAGCUUAACUGGGGAACUGCGUCUGAUACUGGCGGACUUGAGGACAGGAGAGGAACGCGGAAUUCCAGGUGUAGCGGUGAAAUGCGUAGAUAUCUGGAGGAACACCGGUGGCGAAGGCGGCGUUCUGGACUGUUUCUGACACUGAAAAACGAAAGCCAGGGGAGCAAACGGG
Molecule: ribosomal RNA, 253 nt
Filed under: uncultured bacterium
Lineage: Bacteria
Description: partial 16S ribosomal RNA
Rfam family: Bacterial small subunit ribosomal RNA
Source: RNAcentral